GGGCGCGUAGCUCAGUUGGUUGGCGCAGGGGACCCAUAAUCUCCGCGCCGCAGGUUCGAGUCCUGCCGCGCCCA
RNAcentral lists this transfer RNA (74 nucleotides) under Actinomycetota bacterium. Its description in RNAcentral is "Actinobacteria bacterium (freshwater metagenome) tRNA-Met". It matches the Rfam family "tRNA". Rfam says of the family: Transfer RNA (tRNA) molecules are approximately 80 nucleotides in length. Lineage: Bacteria; Bacillati; Actinomycetota. The record is from RNAcentral.